RNAcentral lists this ribosomal RNA (566 nucleotides) under uncultured bacterium. RNAcentral's name for it is "bacterial SSU rRNA". It matches the Rfam family "Bacterial small subunit ribosomal RNA", at positions 360 to 918 of the family's 1533-position model. The record is from RNAcentral.
AAUUUUUCGCAAUGGGGGCAACCCUGACGAAGCAAUGCCGCGUGAAUGAAGAAGGCCUUCGGGUUGUAAAGUUCUUUCGUGGGAGACGAAAAGGUGAUCGCUAAUAUCGGUUACUGUUGACGUGAACCCAAGAAGAAGCACCGGCUAACUCCGUGCCAGCAGCCGCGGUAAUACGGAGGGUGCGAGCGUUAAUCGGAAUUACUGGGCGUAAAGGGCGCGUAGGCGGUUGGUUACGUCUGCCGUGAAAUCCCCGGGCUCAACCUGGGAAUGGCGGUGGAAACGGGCGGACUAGAGUAUGGGAGAGGGUGAUGGAAUUCCAGGUGUAGCGGUGAAAUGCGUAGAGAUCUGGAGGAACAUCAGUGGCGAAGGCGGUCACCUGGCCCAAUACUGACGCUGAGGCGCGAAAGCGUGGGGAGCAAACAGGAUUAGAUACCCUGGUAGUCCACGCCCUAAACGAUGGAUACUAGAUGUUUGGUGCCUUAGGUGCUGAGUGUCGUAGCUAACGCGAUAAGUAUCCCGCCUGGGAAGUACGGCCGCAAGGUUAAAACUCAAAUGAAUUGACGGGG